This 293-nucleotide ribosomal RNA is filed under the name Clostridioides difficile. Its description in RNAcentral is "partial 23S ribosomal RNA". It matches the Rfam family "Bacterial large subunit ribosomal RNA", at positions 1918 to 2210 of the family's 2925-position model. The record is from RNAcentral. Lineage: Bacteria; Bacillati; Bacillota; Clostridia; Peptostreptococcales; Peptostreptococcaceae.
CCCCAGUAAACGGCGGCCGUAACUAUAACGGUCCUAAGGUAGCGAAAUUCCUUGUCGGGUAAGUUCCGACCCGCACGAAAGGCGUAACGAUUUGGGCACUGUCUCAACAACAGACUCGGUGAAAUUGUAAUUCCGGUGAAGAUGCCGGAUACCUGCGACAGGACGGAAAGACCCCAUGGAGCUUUACUGUAGCUUGACAUUGGGUCUUGGUACUACAUGUACAGGAUAGGUGGGAGGCUUUGAAACCAGGACGCCAGUUUUGGCGGAGCCAUCCUUGGGAUACCACCCUUGUA